AAUUAAAGACAAAUUUUAUUUUUAAUACUAAAUGCCUAAUCUGAAAAUCACGCCUCCAUCUCUCUGAACUCUCUCUGCUGGAACCAAGCCAGCGCCGCCGCCCCUCCCUCCCGUGUCCGGCGUCAUCACAUCACUGUAGGAACCCGAGACCCCCCCCCCCCACCCUGCUGCAGUAGACCCAGUCCCGCAGGCACGCCCAGUCGCUCGCCUCCGAGCUCCGGCAGCGGCGUUCCAAAGUCAAGGCCACUAGCAACAUUUGCACUGCUCGAUGAUCUUCCGUUUCUCCAAGUAGCAAAGUCGAAAAUGCAGAAGACCAGCUUCAGUCUCGUACAGACCGUUUCUACAGCCGCUAUCUUCUCCGGCGUCUCCUUUUGGUAUGGGUUCAUGUUUGGCAGAGAAUCAGCACGGAAGGAGCUUGGUGAUCUGAUUGAAACCCUCCGCGGCGCUGGCUCCGGUCCUGCUCCGCCGGAACACUCCUAGAACGGUUUUCAGGUGGGCUGUAUAAAGUGAAGUGGCAAAUUUUUUUAUUUGGUCUUUAAUGUCAAGUAGAUUCAGCUGUCGAAGGUACUCAAGACUGGUCAAAAGCUUCAGGUGUAAUGCACUCUGGAAGCAUGUAUUUCUUCUACAUUCUAAUGCUCUUCCAGUGUCGGCUAAGAGCUGUUAACUGCCCAUUGCUUAAAAGCUGAAUUCUGUUAAUAGUAAACUUGGGUUGCUAGAAACGGUGCAUGUUUGUCUUUAUUAGUUCAAUGGAUACCUCAAAUUCUAAAGACCACUCUACAAGCUUGCUUGCAGACUUGGCUAUUCCCUAGACCCAAUAAAAUGGGAUUAUAAUUGUUUAUUAUAAUUCCAGCUUUGAGAUGAUAGUUUAA
Molecule: long non-coding RNA, 869 nt
Organism: Salvia miltiorrhiza (redroot sage)
Lineage: Eukaryota; Viridiplantae; Streptophyta; Magnoliopsida; Lamiales; Lamiaceae
Exons: 4
Source: RefSeq, a predicted model, not a curated record